GCUUAAACUACAAAGAGAGAGAGUAAAAAGUCACUGACAUGAAGAGGAUCUCAACCUGGACGGGAAUUUAACCAGGAAACAUUGAAUCUGUUGCUUUUUAAAUCUGUUUCUGUGUCUGUGGAGCAGCAGGUGUGUCUCGCCUGAGUGAUGCGGCUGAUAACCAGCAGACGGAGAUGAGAUGGACCUGAUCUCCGCUGGUCCCUGCAGGACCCAAACAGACUCCUCAGGUGGAGAUGAAACAUAUCAGUGGACGUCAAGAAAUCAGAAUCAGAAAGUUGAAAUCAUACCUGAUAAACUAAUGAAGGCUCUGUUUUUCAGAAUAAAAGCCCAAUCUAA
Xiphophorus couchianus (Monterrey platyfish) is the source of this 336-nucleotide long non-coding RNA. RefSeq lists it as uncharacterized. NCBI's taxonomy places the organism in Eukaryota, Metazoa, Chordata, Actinopteri, Cyprinodontiformes, Poeciliidae. The transcript is spliced from 3 exons. The record is from RefSeq and is a predicted model, not a curated record.